Triplophysa rosa is the source of this 844-nucleotide long non-coding RNA. RefSeq lists it as uncharacterized. The record is from RefSeq and is a predicted model, not a curated record. NCBI's taxonomy places the organism in Eukaryota, Metazoa, Chordata, Actinopteri, Cypriniformes, Nemacheilidae. The transcript has 3 exons.
UUUUAACACUUUACCGCUUUCCUCCCUCGGAAGCACUAACAAAUACGAUGUCGUCGUGAAGAAACGUUAGGCCUAAAAAGAGCGUCAUCGUGAGGACUCACUGAAGAACGCUGGUAAGGUAAAGGUAAAAUACAUGUGUAAAUUUUGCUUAAAGAGUUGCUCUAAAACGAUUUUGCAGGUUAUAAAUACUUUCCGGUUUUCUGCAGUGGUACUAACGUUAGCGGAUAGGGGUCAUUGUGAAGUAGGCUGGCAAAGAGACCUCGUGAUAGGCUCACUGAAGAACGCUGGUAAGUUCAUUGUAAAUAAUAAUUAUUGUUAAAUAAUUGUUUAUAAUUGUUGUUGCUUAGUUGCCUAACAUAAAAGUCAAAGCCGAAUCGCACAGGAAUAGUAUUAUCUGGGGACCUCGUGUGAGCGCAUAUUGUGGUACACAAAUGGUUAAGUUUCAUUCUCUGUAAUGAGUCGCGCCUCCGUAGCUCACUUCGCUAACAGGAUUGGCUUUGCCUUUCUUGAGUCCCGCCUCUCUAACCGAAGUCGCAUUAUGAUUGGCUUUGCCUUCUCUCACAAACGUUCUUUCACUAGCUAAGGAUGCAGCUGAUUCGGUUGUAUUAACUAAGCGCCAAAGCUUUUUUUUAUUAUUAAAGCGUCAAAGCUAAGCGGUGUCAAGACGCGAUGAGCAUGAUUAUGCAGGUUACCCGCUGCACUAGCAGACAGGCGGUCAUGAAACAGGUGGGGAGGUGGAGAGAGCUGUCAUGAUAAAGACCCCUGUAGUUUUCUGGUGACCUGUCGGAAGAAAAUGUGGAAUUGUAAAUUCUGCAUUUUUAGGUCUGAUAAAACAAGAAAUUCU